UACGUAGGGGUCGAGCGUUGUCCGGAGUUACUGGGCGUAAAGCGUGCGCAGGCGGCUCAUCGCGCUCGGCGUGAAAGCCCCCGGCUCAACCGGGGAGGGUCGUCGAGGACGGGUGAGCUUGAGGGUAUCAGGGGUUGGUGGAAUUCCCGGUGUAGUGGUGAAAUGCGUAGAGAUCGGGAGGAACAUCAGUUGCGAAGGCGGCUCUCUGGACCAGCACUGACACUGAGGCACGAAAGCGUGGGGAGCAAACAGG
Molecule: ribosomal RNA, 253 nt
Filed under: uncultured bacterium
Lineage: Bacteria
Description: partial 16S ribosomal RNA
Rfam family: Bacterial small subunit ribosomal RNA
Source: RNAcentral